GUCUACUAGAGAGUUUGUGUAGUCUGGCCUGCCCACUGCUAUAAAGUAAAGGGCCGCGGUAUAUUGAACCGUGCUAAGGUAGCAUAAUCAAUAGUCUUUUAAUUGGAGUCUAGAAUGAAUGGCUUGACGAGGGAUUAACUGUCUUGAGUGAAUAUUUUGAAUUUUACUUUUAAGUGAAAAGGCUUAAAUUUUUAGCGGGACGAUAAGACCCUAUGAAGCUUGAAUGAAAUUAAGUUAAAUUAAAUGCGUUAUAUGGGUAUUUUAUUUAUAGUUUAAUUUCAUUGUGUUGGGGCGAUUAAAAUAUACAAUUAACUGUUUUAUAUUUAAAAUAAUUAUAUUUAGUUAAUUUGAUCUUUUAUUGAAGAUUAAAAAAUUAAAGUUACUCUAGGGAUAACAGCGUAACUUUUUCUUGAGAGUUCUUAUCGACAGAAGUAGUUGCGACCUCGAUGUUGAAUUAAAAUUUCAUUAAAGUGUAGAAGCUUUAAUAGUGGGUCUGUUCGACCUUUAAAAUUUUACAUGAUUUGAGUUCAGACCGGCGUG
This 540-nucleotide ribosomal RNA is filed under the name Palaemonias alabamae. RNAcentral's name for it is "partial 16S ribosomal RNA". It matches the Rfam family "Bacterial large subunit ribosomal RNA", at positions 1832 to 2623 of the family's 2925-position model. The record is from RNAcentral. Lineage: Eukaryota; Metazoa; Arthropoda; Malacostraca; Decapoda; Atyidae.